Molecule: transfer RNA, 63 nt
Filed under: Dinothenarus chrysocomus
Lineage: Eukaryota; Metazoa; Arthropoda; Insecta; Coleoptera; Staphylinidae
Description: tRNA-Glu
Source: RNAcentral
AUUUAUAUAGUUUAAUUAAAACAUUACAUUUUCAUUGUAAAAUUAAAUUUUUUUUUGUAAAUA